This 427-nucleotide ribosomal RNA is filed under the name uncultured bacterium. RNAcentral's name for it is "bacterial SSU rRNA". It matches the Rfam family "Bacterial small subunit ribosomal RNA", at positions 354 to 772 of the family's 1533-position model. The record is from RNAcentral.
GUGGGGAAUCUUGGUCAAUGGGCGCAAGCCUGAACCAGCGACGCCGCGUGGGGGAUGAAGGUCUUCGGAUUGUAAACCCCUGUUGGGUGGGACGAACACUUUCGUGGUGAAUAUCCAUGGAGGCUGACGGUACCACCUGAGGAAGCCCCGGCUAACUCUGUGCCAGCAGCCGCGGUAAUACAGAGGGGGCAAGCGUUGUUCGGAAUUACUGGGCGUAAAGGGCGCGUAGGCGGCCUGUUAAGUCGGACGUGAAAUCCCUCGGCUCAACCGGGGAACUGCGUCCGAUACUGGCGGGCUUGAAUUCGGGAGAGGGAUGUGGAAUUCCAGGUGUAGCGGUGAAAUGCGUAGAUAUCUGGAGGAACACCGGUGGCGAAGGCGGCAUCCUGGACCGACAUUGACGCUGAGGCGCGAAAGCCAGGGGAGCAAA